Molecule: ribosomal RNA, 465 nt
Filed under: uncultured bacterium
Lineage: Bacteria
Description: bacterial SSU rRNA
Rfam family: Bacterial small subunit ribosomal RNA
Source: RNAcentral
CAAGUCGAACGAAGCGAUUUGACGGAAGUUUUCGGAUGGAAGCCAAAUUGACUGAGUGGCGGACGGGUGAGUAACGCGUGGGUAACCUGCCUCAUACAGGGGGAUAACAGUUAGAAAUGACUGCUAAUACCGCAUAAGCGCAUGGAGACGCAUGUUUCUGUGUGAAAAACUCCGGUGGUAUGAGAUGGACCUGCGUCUGAUUAGCUAGUUGGUGAGGUAACGGCCCACCAAGGCGACGAUCAGUAGCCGACCUGAGAGGGUGACCGGCCACAUUGGGACUGAGACACGGCCCAAACUCCUACGGGAGGCAGCAGUGGGGAAUAUUGCACAAUGGGGGAAACCCUGAUGCAGCAACGCCGCGUGAAGGAAGAAGGUCUUCGGAUUGUAAACUUCUGUCCUCAGGGAAGAUAAUGACGGUACCUGAGGAGGAAGCUCCGGCUAACUACGUGCCAGCAGCCGCGGUAA